Molecule: ribosomal RNA, 723 nt
Filed under: uncultured bacterium
Lineage: Bacteria
Description: bacterial SSU rRNA
Rfam family: Bacterial small subunit ribosomal RNA
Source: RNAcentral
AGAGUUUGAUCAUGGCUCAGGAUGAACGCUAGCGGCAGGCUUAAUACAUGCAAGUCGAGGGGCAGCAUGAGUGUAGCAAUACAUUUGAUGGCGACCGGCAAACGGGUGCGGAACACGUACACAACCUUCCUUCGAGCGGGGAAUAGCCCAGAGAAAUUUGGAUUAAUACCCCAUAGUAUAUUGAAAAGGCAUCUUUUUAAUAUUAAAGAUUUAUCACUUGAAGAUGGGUGUGCGGCUGAUUAGGUAGUUGGCGGGGUAACGGCCCACCAAGCCUGCGAUCAGUAACUGGUGUGAGAGCACGACCAGUCACACGGGCACUGAGACACGGGCCCGACUCCUACGGGAGGCAGCAGUAAGGAAUAUUGGUCAAUGGACGAAAGUCUGAACCAGCCAUGCCGCGUGGAGGAUGAAGGCCCUCUGGGUUGUAAACUUCUUUUAUCUGGGAAGAAAAAAGGGAAUUCUUUCCCGUCUGACGGUACCAGAUGAAUAAGCACCGGCUAACUCCGUGCCAGCAGCCGCGGUAAUACGGAGGGUGCAAGCGUUAUCCGGAUUUACUGGGUUUAAAGGGUGCGUAGGUGGGUUGGUAAGUCCGUGGUGAAAUCUCCAAGCUUAACUUGGAAACUGCCAUGGAUACUAUCAGUCUUGAAUACCGUGGAGGUCAGCGGAAUAUGUCAUGUAGCGGUGAAAUGCUUAGAUAUGACAUAGAACACCAAUUGCGAAGGC